ACACGUAGGAUGCAAGCGUUAUUCGGAUUUACUGGGCGUAAAGCGCGUGUAGGCGGUUGGGAUAGUUGGAUGUGAAAGCUCCCGGCUUAACUGGGAGAGGUCGUUCAAAACUUCCCAACUAGAGUUUGGUAGAGGAAAAUGGAAUUCCGGGUGUAGUGGUGAAAUGCGUAGAUAUCCGGAGGAACACCAGUGGCGAAAGCGUAUUUUCUGGACCGAUACUGACGCUCAGACGCGAAAGCUAGGGUAGC
RNAcentral lists this ribosomal RNA (248 nucleotides) under uncultured bacterium. RNAcentral's name for it is "partial 16S ribosomal RNA". It matches the Rfam family "Bacterial small subunit ribosomal RNA", at positions 523 to 769 of the family's 1533-position model. The record is from RNAcentral.